This is a long non-coding RNA of Alexandromys fortis (reed vole), 3925 nucleotides long. RefSeq lists it as uncharacterized. NCBI's taxonomy places the organism in Eukaryota, Metazoa, Chordata, Mammalia, Rodentia, Cricetidae. The transcript has 4 exons. The record is from RefSeq and is a predicted model, not a curated record.
UUCAGUGUCGCUGAGGCUUCAAGGAGAGAAAGGGAAGCUAGGAAAAAGGGAGCGCUUAUAAGCGUAGGUAAGUGCAAAGAAAAGCUAGUUUGGGGGCCCAUGGGAAGAAAAUGCAAGAGGGCUCCUUGGGGCAGGCACAGAAAAUGACAGAGAAUACGCCUACUGAUGUUGGAAUACCAACUAGAAGUCUGAGUUCUGUAAUGAGAACAAUUCACGGAUGAAGGCACGAAAAGAAAUGGAAUAAGGAAUGGGAGGGAUUAGGAAACAAAACCAGAGUUCUCCUCUAAGGGAGGAAAAAGGGUCUCUCAGGAUGACACGGAAGGACUUCAAAACUCUCGGAAGGAAACUCUUGCAGUUAUCAAGGGGAGUGGGGGCUUCUCAACACCCGGAAAGCCCUUCUCUGGGCUCAGUUGGGUUUACCGAAACAGGCUGGACAGAUCCCCUUAAAAGAAUGUUCAGAGUAACUGGAUGGGAUUGCAAGCUUGAAGUAGAGCUAACCAGGUCUUUCAUGGGACCCCUGGAAGGAUGCAAGGAGAACCCUCUCCAAAUCGGGAGGGUUUGGGUACUGGAGGGAAGAGCUGAAGAGGCUUCUGAGGAGUUGGAUUUGUCCCGGGAGGAGAAGGCAAGAAACUUGGUGCACUAACGAUACAAAGUAAGUUGUUUUGAAAAUUAGGAACUCCACCUUGAUAAAAAAAAGGGAGUUCCUACGCUAAUAGGAAGCGUGGGAAAGAAUCUGAAAACCUGCAGGAUUUGUCGGAAAUGCCACACACACCCCCAGACAAGCAAGGAUCUAAGAGUCCCUCACCAGAAGAGGAGUAAAGAGGAAUUCAAAGAGAACUACUGUCCGGAGAACGCAACUCUGAAGUGGUGUAGAAGAAAUCCGAAAGCACUCCAAAAGGAAGUUGGGUGCACGGACAACAGACACGCCUUUCAGUUCACUGAUCGCUCAGUACCCCAUCCACCAGCAAUUACUUGUUGUUUUAGGUGCUUGCCCAAACUCUGAUGACCUGCAUUUGAUCCUUGGAACCCACAUGAUGGAGAGAGAAAAACCAACUCUUGCAGGUUGUACUAUGGUCUUUGCUUGUAUGUUACGGCAUACUCACCACCACCCCACCCCACCUCCCACACACAAAAUAAUGUUAAUGUAAUAAUAAAAAGAGAUUUAUUUAUCUUAGUAGGGUUCCCUACUGACUAGCUGACUGAAUCCCCAGUCGGGUAUCUAAAUCUGGAGAGGCUCCAAGAUCCAGGGAGCCCAAGACCUUCUCUCAGCUUUCUUAACACGUUCCUCUUUGGCUAGGGAAGCACAGAUGGUUCCCGUAUCUGAGAAGAUCCAUUCUUUAGGAAAACUGCCGAACACGGUUCAAGAGGCUAGGGACUUAGCAGUGAACAAAGCCGCUCGUUCCCCAGCCAAGGUCGCCAAUGGAUGAGUCUUAGCGCACCCUUCAAACUUCUAAAUAGAGUAUCGGCACCCAUGGAUUCUGAGUGUUUCCCUAGUUAAUAAAACAUGGCAUAUCCUCGCAAAGAAAUAGAUCAUUUAUAGCCAUGGUUCUCAUCCUUCCUAAGGCAUCGACCCUUUAAUACAGGUCCUCAUGUUGUGCUGACCCCCCCAUCAUAAAAUUACUUCAUUGCUACUUCAUAACUGUAACUUUGCUACUGUUGUGAAUCAUAACGUAAGUGUCUGAUAUGCAGGACAUCUGCUAUGUGAUCUCCAAAGGGGUCGUGACCCACAGGUUGAGAACCACUGAUUUGCCGUCUCCUGGUACCAUCCCCAGGACUCUGACUAUGUAAUCCUUUCAUCAACCUUCUCCUCUCCAAAAAAGCUACUUCGGCCUUGGCUCUUAUGACAUUAGUAUCAUGAUGCCCGAGCAGAAGGUCCUAAGCUGGGAUCCUCAACACCCACCUAAACAUUGGGUAUGACGGCACACACCUGUGAUUUUAGUGCUGGGGAGACGGAGACAGGUGAAUUCCUGAGCUCAUCUGUCAGCAGGCCUUACCAAUUGUUGAACUCUGGGUUCAGAGGUCCUUCCUUUCAAAACAUAAGGUGACAAUAGAAGACACCCAGCAUCAACUGUAGGCCUUCACACAUGCACACAUACGCACACAUGCAUAUGUAUCAGCUGCUGAAAUACACACACACACACACACACACACACACACACAGUGUCUCAACUGCUUUAGCUAAUACCAGCUUGCUCUCCAAAACCACACCAAGUGAUAUACUUAGCAAGAAAGCAUUGGUAUUGUGCCAUAGCCUUAUCCUUACUACCUUCAGACUUUUAAGUCCUAAUUUUUAAAUAAAAUUGAAUUAUAGUAAAAAGAAUUAUCUACCAUAUUAACUAAUUUAUAGUUCUGGGGAUUAAGCCCAGCUAGGCAAGAACUCUACCACUGUGCUAUAUUGCAAUGCAUCCUUACUGAUCUUUAAGUGUGUUAUUGAUGAUAUGGGUGAUGUUGGACAGCAAAUCUCUAGAGCUUAUGCAUCCUGGUGGAAACCGUAUGCCUUUAUAGUAAUAGGUAACCACUCCCUCCUCCCCCUAAACCCUGGUACUAACCAUUCUGCUCUCAUCCUAUGAACAUGAUCAGUUCAAAUACCUUGUGUAUUUAGACUUAUGGAGUCUUUCUGUGUCGACCAUAUUUCCCUCAGCAGGAUGCCUUCAAGGUUCAUCCAUGUUACGGUGUGUGCAGAAUUUCCUGGUGGGUACUCCGUGGGGCAUUUAAGCUACAUGUUGUGUAUACAGUCGCUUCUCAGCGGACACUUAGGGCAUUUCUACAUUGUGGCCCUUGUGAGUGGUAUAGCAAUGGACAUGAGAGUGCCCACAUGGCUUCUUUGUCAGAAUGGAGCCUAGAGAAACUGGAAAUAAAGUCAUUUCUAGUCCAUGUUCAUUGAUGCGUAUAGACUUUGGGGGAUGGUUAAUUUUAGUGGGUGAAUUUUUUAUUUAAAAAUUAUAAUACAUUUUUAAUGAAUGAUAAGAAGUAUUGAAAAACUUGACAGAACAGUUUGGGAAUUGUUUUUGCCUAUACUGUCGAGGGGACAGUGUGUGUCUCCUGAGUCUAGGCAGAGCAUCACGGGGUAAGAAAACAUUGUGGAAGUUGUUCCUUACUUCUUGGUGGAUAGAAAGCUGAGCGCAGGAGACAGAAAAAAUUUAAUAAGGUAAGAAAUAGCCCCCAAGGACAUGCCCCAGUGUCCUACUUUUUCCAUCCAGCCCACCUCCUGACCUUCACCAUGUCUUAUAUUUCAUCACAGUCUCAUCCAUCAAAUGGAUAUUCAUGGGGUCAGAGCCCUCAUGAUCCACUGCCACAGUGAAUGCCAUCAGAGGCACACCUAGAGAGGUCUACUUCACUAGGCAUUGGUCGAUCGGAUCGAAUCGGCAAUCAAAACUAAUCGCCAGGAAACGGUAGUGUCUCAGCUUCGGCAGGAGCUUAGCACUGAGGAGCCUUGAAUGGGAAGCUUAUGGAGCAAUUAAGCCCUUUCCUUGGGGACCCCAGACCUGACAACGGCCAGUGCAUAGAGAUGAGCAAUUGGAUGUUUGUCUCUCUCUUGCCAGAGGGGAAAAAAAAAUGAAAUACUCCAAAAUUCAUCAAGGACUUUUGCUGUAUUUCAAUGAGCCGUGUGUAUCUUGUAUAUUGUGUAAUUGAUCUGAAAAAACCUCAUCUCAUAAACUGAGGGAACAGGCCCAUUUUCUAUUUCAUUUCUUUUAAUUAGCUAUUCCCAAGAAAGUGCCACGUGUCUGCCAGAUAAUUCCCACCCACCUGAUGGGAAUGGUGAGUAACGCUGAACCAUUGAUGGCUUUGCACUUAACCCAAAUGCCCAGAGACCCACUCCGCGGCCCCUCAUGACCAAGCUUCCAGUCAGACAUUGUCAGAACUAUUAUCCUCAUCAGAUCCUGGAGCACGGACCCAGGAGGGAGACUUGCCCAAGGUCACAGGG